CCCUUAGAUGUCCUGGGCCGCACGCGCGUUACACUGAUGCAUUCAACGAGCUUAUAACCUUGGCCGAGAGGCCUGGGCAAUCUUGUUAACGUGCAUCGUGAUAGGGAUAGAUUAUUGAAAUUAUUAAUCUUGAACGAGGAAUUCCUAGUAAACGCAGAUCAUCAAUCUGCAUUGAUUACGUCCCUGCCCUUUGUACAUACCGCCCGUCGCACCUACCGAUUGGAUGGUCCGGUGAAGCCUCGGGAUUGUGGUUCUUGCCGCUUUAUUGUGGCGUGACCGCGAGAACUUGUCUAAACCUUAUCAUCUAGAGGAAGGUGAANUCGUAACA
Molecule: ribosomal RNA, 328 nt
Filed under: uncultured eukaryote
Lineage: Eukaryota
Description: partial 18S ribosomal RNA
Rfam family: Eukaryotic small subunit ribosomal RNA
Source: RNAcentral